UACGUAGGGUGCGAGCGUUGUCCGGAAUUAUUGGGCGUAAAGGGCUCGUAGGCGGUCUGUUGCGUCAGGAGUGAAAACUCGGGGCUUAACCCCGAGCCUGCUUCUGAUACGGGCAGACUAGAGGUAUGCAGGGGAGAACGGAAUUCCUGGUGUAGCGGUGAAAUGCGUAGAUAUCUGGAGGAACACCGGUGGCGAAGGCGGCAUCCUGGACCAACACUGACACUGAGGAGCGAAAGCCAGGGGAGCAAACGGG
This 253-nucleotide ribosomal RNA is filed under the name uncultured bacterium. RNAcentral's name for it is "partial 16S ribosomal RNA". It matches the Rfam family "Bacterial small subunit ribosomal RNA", at positions 524 to 776 of the family's 1533-position model. The record is from RNAcentral.